CUAGCGUUGCUCGGAAUCACUGGGCGUAAAGCGCACGUAGGCGGAUUGCUAAGUCAGGGGUGAAAUCCUGGAGCUCAACUCCAGAACUGCCCUUGAUACUGGCGGUCUCGAGUCCGGGAGAGGUGAGUGGAACUGCGAGUGUAGAGGUGAAAUUCGUAGAUAUUCGCAAGAACACCAGUGGCGAAGGCGGCUCACUGGCCCGGUACUGACGCUGAGGUGCGAAGGCGUGGGGAGCAAGCAGG
This 242-nucleotide ribosomal RNA is filed under the name uncultured bacterium. RNAcentral describes it as "partial 16S ribosomal RNA". It matches the Rfam family "Bacterial small subunit ribosomal RNA", at positions 535 to 776 of the family's 1533-position model. The record is from RNAcentral.